GGGGAUGAAAGGUAUCGACAGCGUGAUCAAUGGUGUGUGUUUGCCUCAGUCCGGGAUCGUACUGUUUCCCGUCACCCAACUGUACAACCUAUAGAUGCUAAAACAUCUUUCAUGGCAUACGUGGAAGACAUGGUGAACAGCCUUCAGCUGCAGCCGGUCGCCCUCGUUGCUUAAGUUCGCCUUUGCGCGAACACGCCGCUCUCCCGACUCCUGCUGAGGAGAAUCCGGCGUCACUAGCAGGGCUUUCCGUCAUCGGACGUUGUGACGAGAUCGUAUUCAGACGUCAUCACUCGCUCCCUCUCUCUGUUGUUCUCUUACGGGAUGCGAGAAUGAGAACUUCAUGACCGUACAGGCACAUGCGCUACACGUUGGACCCGGGUUCGAAUCCCGGCAUCUCCACCA
This 402-nucleotide transfer-messenger RNA is filed under the name Candidatus Peribacteraceae. Its description in RNAcentral is "JABFSS01 sp013140485 Standard tmRNA". It matches the Rfam family "transfer-messenger RNA". From Rfam's summary of the family: Bacterial tmRNA, also known as 10Sa RNA or SsrA, is named for its dual tRNA and mRNA-like properties. The record is from RNAcentral. Lineage: Bacteria; Candidatus Peregrinibacteriota; Candidatus Peribacteria; Candidatus Peribacterales. RNAcentral also lists the same sequence under 1 other name.